GUCAGCUAGAAACAGAAAUGAGGAGGUAGAGUACAGGAAAGUGGCGUUGUGUUCAGUUAAGACUUUGUGGAAAGAAUUAUUACUAUAAUUUACAGUGUGUACAGACCCGAGUCUACAUGAUGCUGCAUUGUCUGUCCUUACACCACUUAAUAGUUCUGCUCUUAAUGGUAGUCAUAACAGAAUGUACAGAGACCCAGAGACCUUGUGAAGAGCAGGAGGUUGAGCAAUAUGGAGCCAAAGGACAAAGUACAUUUCUACACUGCUUCACCACAGAUCAAGAAACAGCCACUCUAAAUAUAACACUUUACAGACAAGAAGGAAGUGAAUCAAACAAGCUGUUAUAUCCCGCUAGUAGCCUAACAGUGGAGCAGCAGAGACUGUCUCUUCAGAAGGACUCGGGCAAAGUGAUGUUUGUGUUGCAUAAUCUGAGCUUCUCUGAUGGUGGUCAGUAUAAAUGUGAGGUUCACAAGAACCAAAACUGCCUAAUAAUCAAAACAUUUUUUCUAAAAAUUAAAGAAUGUAAAAUCUUGGAUCCAGUCAAAGCAGUGCAGAACUCAGCAGUUACAAUUACAUGCCCUGUAUUCUCACCACACCCUCGAAGUACACAAGUCUUUUGGGAGGCUGUUUAUGGAGACAGAGCUGAUCAUAUAUACCAGUGCCCCUCCUCCUGCACUUCAGCAAGCAACAACAGAACAGCUAAUCUCUGCUCAAGAGCAAGAACAGAAGAGGAUCCAGAAAGGGGAGCUAGAUCACUGACCAUUAGUCCUGUGAACUCCUUAGAUGCUAUCUGGUAUCGGUGUACAGUGAAAGCUGGCCAUGUAAAAUACUGUUCUGAAGUUAAAGUUAUUGUGAAAGAUGAGCCUCCGGUUCAGCUUUUGACUAAAGACUGUAAAAACAUUGGCACGUUCAAAGCAGCACUGAACUCAGCAUUCACGUUCACAUGGCCUGUGCCUACAUCAUAUUCUGGAGCCACGCAGGUGAUCUGGUGGACCAUUGAAGGAGACAAGACUGUUCCGAUAACACGCUGCCCAUCUCCCUGCACCUCCAGCAGAGCCCGAAGACCCCUUUGUGAAAGAGUUAAAACAGUGCAGGGUGCAGGGAAUGUAUCACUGACCAUAAAUCCUGUAAAGUCCACAGAUGCUUUGUGGUAUUGGUUUAGAGUGAUGAAUGCCACCUCAUGCAAUGCAUUCAUGCUUUCUUUCACAGGUAACACCUCUCCUUAUCAGACAGCUAAAGUCACAGGUGGUUCCCACGCAGGGCUCAUCAUUCCAGAGCCAUCAGAGAACAGUACUGAAGAGACUGCAGAAGUCAACAACUUUACUGUGACAGUGACUGUGGCCUCAACAGUCUCUGUAUGCAUCUUUGUGGCCCUGUUGGUGCUAUUGGUGAGAGCACGUCAGUGUUUCAGAAAAUGGAAGAAGAAGGGUGUACGCAAAAUUAAGCUUGAGAGUCAGUAUAAUGCAUAUGCAGAAAUCGCAGACAAGGAUACCUUCCUGUAUUCGUUAGUCCAGCAUGAUCCUGCAAGCAUGUGCACUUUUAAGAACCAGUGAGAAAAUCCCAGCCCAGUUUCAGAUUGUGUUUUUGAUGUGAUUUUUAUUUUCUUCUCACUUGUUUUCUUUGUUUUUGAGACAUAAAAAAACAUCAGUACAAUGAUUAGAAUGCCUGUAUACUUGAGCAUUGACUCAAUGCUUUAUGAUGUUGACUGUGUGUUGACUGUGAAUGUUCACCUUUAUGUCUUAAAUAAAUAAAUACUCUAAAACCUUUUCUUCAUGUUUCUUUUUCCGAAAGGGGAAAAUUUUCAGAAACAGAUUUACAAGCUUUAACAAUAAAUACACACCUAAAACAGGGCAAUACAGUCCAUGGUAUAGUCCAUAGAGCAACAAUACAUCAGAUAAACAGGUGGUUAUUUGUACUGGUAAAGAAAGUGCAUAAGGUGCCUAAAUCAUAAAUACAGAGUUAGAAUGAAAGUGCAAAAAUGUUUAGAAUGUAAAGACAGAUGUUGGAGCAAAUAGAAAUUAAAGUUUUGAAGAGAACAGUUGUCACUUAUCAAGUAUGAAGUAGACAUGCUGGUGUGUAAAUAAUUAUUUAGUGAAUCCAGUGAAUGUGUUAGAGUAAAAUUCUCUUUUUCUAGCAUUGGGAGAUCUGGUGCCACUUUCUGGAAAGUAGAGGGCCAAACAGGUUGUGUCUGUGUCUGUAUGCAAACAAGCGGAGACACAGUGAAAUGAGCCUUGUGUCCAGCAGGGCUGGAGUGGGAUUUGUUUUCAUACAGAGAGUUAUGUGUUGCAGAUCAACCCACCCCUCUAAACUCUAGCUGGUGAUAAAAUGAAAACAGCUGGAAACUGUCUUAAAUGUGACCAUGGGAGUCAAUAUGCUACAAAUUUAUGGAAGUUAAGUAAGUUAAAAUCAGCAUUUCUCACUACCCACCUGCUCAGCUUUUCUUCUUGUCUUCCUUAAGCAGGUUUUUUUUUUAUUCUUGUCUUCUCUCAUUCAUGAUGCAAAACUGAUAUUCUCUGUUAGAAAUGUGCUAACGGCCAAGAGAGCUGAAAUGCGGCAAUACAGAAGCUCUCUGGAUGUUUACUCUUUGUCAAAAACAAGAAAAGAAAAAGGAGCCAAGAAAAUAAGAACCUAACAUCAACCUCAAGAAAUUAGUGUAUCAAAUUCAGCAUGAUUGUUUGAAUCUGGUGCUGACUGUCACACUAGGCAGAGGUGUACAGAGUUUACAUUUUUACAUUACUGUUUUUACAUUACCAGUACUGUAAUUUUCAGUAGGAAUAAUGUGAACUUCAACUUUGUGUAAAAUCAGCAAAAAUCAGUAAGCCUAAAUUAUUACAGAAAUACACUGAGAUGUAACAUUUUGUGAUGUGUACAGAAUCGCAGACGAACACAGAUAAAAUACAAGUGUGAUUUAAUAAAACCAAAUCACCAGUUGUCAAAAGGGCAAGCCAAGGUCAAAAAACACAGAUCCAAAACACAAGCAAAGGUACAAAAAGGGCAAGGUAAAAGUUGAGUAGUCAACAAACAAAAUCCAAGGUCAAAACACAUGAGAAUAAACAGCAUGACGGAAAACCACUCGGUAAGUCUCAGAGAAACAAUACUUUUAUAGUUUAACCUGAGAGUCAUGUGAUCCCAACACAGGUGGAUAGUGUUAGUAAUCUGGAGACUGAGAUCUCUGAUAGGAGCGUGGUGGAGAGUAGGAAGUCACGUGAGACUCCAGAGGAUUCUGGGAGAUGGAGUCACUCCCCUCUAUGGAAGAAUGAUCUGUAUGUGUGACACAUUUAUAGUUUGUCAGAACAUUCUUGCGCUUACAUGCGUCAAU
This is a long non-coding RNA of Pygocentrus nattereri (red-bellied piranha), 3316 nucleotides long. The record is from Ensembl. Lineage: Eukaryota; Metazoa; Chordata; Actinopteri; Characiformes; Serrasalmidae.